AAGUCGUGAACCUGCGGCAGGAUCAACCCUGUGAACUUCAACCCCGCCGGAAUGAGAUUAAUUUCCAACUCCGGCGAAGACAAGUGACCUGGCACCUGACCUCAUCAAAGCUCUGACAGCGUGCCUCUGGAUGCUUAAUGGAAGGGUGACGCAGUAACGGCCCACACGGCCGGCGACCGGGUCAGCGGCAUUCUUUAAUGUUAACAAUGGAUAUCUUGGUUCUC
Molecule: unclassified non-coding RNA, 224 nt
Filed under: fungal sp.
Lineage: Eukaryota; Fungi
Description: partial internal transcribed spacer region
Source: RNAcentral